GACGAACGCUGGCGGCGUGCUUAACACAUGCAAGUCGAACGGAAAGGCCCUGCUUGUGUGGGGUGCUCGAGUGGCGAACGGGUGAGUAACACGUGAGUAACCUGCCCUUGACUUUGGGAUAACUUCAGGAAACUGGGGCUAAUACCGGAUAGGAGCUCCUGCUGCAUGGUGGGGGUGGGAAAGUUUCGGCGGUUGGGGAUGGACUCGCGGCUUAUCAGCUUGUUGGUGGGGUAGUGGCUUACCAAGGCUUUGACGGGUAGCCGGCCUGAGAGGGUGACCGGCCACAUUGGGACUGAGAUACGGCCCAGACUCCUACGGGAGGCAGCAGUGGGGAAUAUUGCACAAUGGGCGGAAGCCUGAUGCAGCAACGCCGCGUGCGGGAUGACGGCCUUCGGGUUGUAAACCGCUUUCGCCUGUGACGAAGCGUGAGUGACGGUAAUGGGUAAAGAAGCACCGGCUAACUACGUG
RNAcentral lists this ribosomal RNA (468 nucleotides) under uncultured bacterium. RNAcentral describes it as "partial 16S ribosomal RNA". It matches the Rfam family "Bacterial small subunit ribosomal RNA", at positions 28 to 507 of the family's 1533-position model. The record is from RNAcentral.